Molecule: small RNA, 331 nt
Filed under: Arabidopsis thaliana (thale cress)
Lineage: Eukaryota; Viridiplantae; Streptophyta; Magnoliopsida; Brassicales; Brassicaceae
Description: ATSL206300
Source: RNAcentral
CACAAAAACAGACUGUUCAUGUAGUUGCAUUACAUUUUAGGAUCGAGUCUAGAGUGUUUCAUUUAGGACUGUUGCAUAUGCAUAGGGGAUAAUGAUGAGAUAGCCUUGUAAGCAUUUUGGUUCAACGGAUAAACUUAGUGCCCUCGUUGCUAAUUGUCUGUUGUGUAGUUAAUGAAAUUGAAGUAAAACUGAACCAUGCCUAGAUUGCUCUACUCGACCACACUAUCAUGAUCUGAUACAAUUCUCUAUCAAUUUGAACCUGAUUCUGAUUUUUAAUUUUCAUGUCUACAUCAAAUUUGAACCCAUGGAUGCCCUAAAAUACUUGGAUUUU